CGUUAAUAUUGAGUCACUGAUAAGGUCUUUGCAUCGGAACUAAACACAUUUAUUCUAAAAACAGUUGUUGGCAUGACACGGGUUAUGUUCUUCUCAUAUAUGUUAUGAUGGUAUGAUACUAAACCCCUAGCGGGAAGGAUUGUGCCUGAUGUUCAUAUGAUGAAAUCAUAAUCUUUUAGUCAGUUUAAUUGAAGUCUGGAGCUGGCAUGUCAGUUAACUGCUAGUAGUCUGUUGUUAUUUAUGUAUUAUUGUCAUUUUGUUUAUUUUCUUUGGUUACAUCUACUGACAUCAGACUCGGACCUCUCUUGAACUGAAUUUUAAU
This 322-nucleotide long non-coding RNA is filed under the name Mytilus galloprovincialis (Mediterranean mussel). The record is from RNAcentral. Lineage: Eukaryota; Metazoa; Mollusca; Bivalvia; Mytilida; Mytilidae.